GAUCAUGGCUCAGGAUGAACGCUGGCGGCGUGCCUAAUACAUGCAAGUCGAGCGAACAGACGAGGAGCUUGCUCCUUUGACGUUAGCGGCGGACGGGUGAGUAACACGUAGGUAACCUACCUAUAAGACUGGGAUAACUUCGGGAAACCGGAGCUAAUACCGGAUAAUAUUUCGAACCGCAUGGUUCGAUAGUGAAAGAUGGCUUUGCUAUCACUUAUAGAUGGACCUGCGCCGUAUUAG
RNAcentral lists this ribosomal RNA (240 nucleotides) under uncultured bacterium. RNAcentral's name for it is "partial 16S ribosomal RNA". It matches the Rfam family "Bacterial small subunit ribosomal RNA", at positions 15 to 244 of the family's 1533-position model. The record is from RNAcentral.